GGAGUCACUACCUAUGGAGCUGUUUUGUUGUUUAUGGUACUUUUUGCUGUUAUACUCACUAUCUCAUUCAAUGUACAAAAUGUUUAUGAGGUUGUACAAUCGAGAAAAGGAAGCAUGCUAAAUGCCUUGGCUAUGCUUGUUCCAUUUGGCGUGCUGUUGGGGGUAAUUCUGCUCUGG
Cynara cardunculus var. scolymus (artichoke) is the source of this 177-nucleotide long non-coding RNA. RefSeq lists it as uncharacterized. The transcript is spliced from 3 exons. NCBI's taxonomy places the organism in Eukaryota, Viridiplantae, Streptophyta, Magnoliopsida, Asterales, Asteraceae. The record is from RefSeq and is a predicted model, not a curated record.